CUGAAGGUUUGGUCCUGGCCUCAGUAUUAAUUUUAACCAAAUUUACACAUGCAAGUUUCAGCAUUCCAGUGAGAACGCCCUAAUCAUGCCCUUAUUUGUUUAGGAGCUGGUAUCAGGCAUAUACAGUGUGUAUAACCCAUGACACCUCGCUUAACCACACCCCCAAGGGAAUUCAGCAGUGAUAGACAUUGAACAAUAAGCGCAAGCUUGAAUCAGUUAAAGUUAAAAGAGUUGGUUAAUCUCGUGCCAGCCACCGCGGUUAUACGAGUAACUCACAUUAAUAUUUCACGGCGUAAAGGGUGAUUAAAAGUUUCUAAAAAGUACUAGAGUUAUGACCUUAUAAAGCUGUCAUACGCACCUAUAAAAGAAGUAAUACACUGACGAAAGUAACUUUAACUAACUAGAGCUUUUGACCUCACGACAGUUAAGACACAAACUAGGAUUAGAUACCCUACUAUG
This 459-nucleotide ribosomal RNA is filed under the name Raja undulata (undulate ray). Its description in RNAcentral is "partial small subunit ribosomal RNA". The record is from RNAcentral. Lineage: Eukaryota; Metazoa; Chordata; Chondrichthyes; Rajiformes; Rajidae.